GACGAACGCUGGCGGCGUGCCUAAUACAUGCCAGUAGAACGCACAGUUUAUACCGUAGCUUGCUACACCAUAAACUGUGAGUUGCGAACGGGUGAGUAACGCGUAGGUAACCUGCCUGGUAGCGGGGGAUAACUAUUGGAAACGAUAGCUAAUACCGCAUAAUAUUGAUUAUUGCAUGAUAAUUGAUUGAAAGAUGCUAUUGCAUCACUACCAGAUGGACCUGCGUUGUAUUAGCUAGUAGGUGAGGUAACGGCUCACCUAGGCGACGAUACAUAGCCGACCUGAGAGGGUGAUCGGCCACACUGGGACUGAGACACGGCCCAGACGCCUACGGGAGGCAGCAGUAGGGAAUCUUCGGCAAUGGACGAAAGUCUGACCGAGCAACGCCGCGUGAGUGAAGAAGGUUUUCGGAUCGUAAAGCUCUGUUGUAAGAGAAGAACGGGUGUGAGAGUGGAAAGUUCACACUGUGACGGUAUCUUACCAGAAAGGGACGGCUAACUACGUG
Molecule: ribosomal RNA, 505 nt
Filed under: uncultured bacterium
Lineage: Bacteria
Description: partial 16S ribosomal RNA
Rfam family: Bacterial small subunit ribosomal RNA
Source: RNAcentral